RNAcentral lists this ribosomal RNA (722 nucleotides) under Macrococcoides caseolyticum. RNAcentral describes it as "bacterial SSU rRNA". It matches the Rfam family "Bacterial small subunit ribosomal RNA", at positions 56 to 754 of the family's 1533-position model. Lineage: Bacteria; Bacillati; Bacillota; Bacilli; Caryophanales; Staphylococcaceae. The record is from RNAcentral.
UGCAGUCGAGCGAACGGACGAAAGUGGUUGCACUCUCUGAUGUUAGCGGCGGACGGGUGAGUAACACGUGGGUAACCUACCUAUAAGACUGGGAUAACUUCGGGAAACCGGAGCUAAUACCGGAUAAUAUUUAGCUUCGCAUGAAGCAAUAGUGAAAGACGGUUCUGCUGUCACUUAUAGAUGGACCCGCGGUGGAUUAGCUAGUUGGUGAGGGAACGGAUCACCAAGGGAACGAUACAUAUCCGACCUGACAGGGUGAUCGGCCACACUGGGACUGACACACGGCCCAGACUCCUACGGAAGGCAGCAGUAGGGAAUCUUCCGCAAUGGACGAAAGUCUGACGGAGCAACGCCGCGUGAGUGAAGAAGGUUUUCGGAUCGUAAAACUCUGUUGUAAGGGAAGAACAAGUACGUUAGUAACUGAACGUACCUUGACGGUACCUUACCACAAAGCCACGGCUAACUACGUGCCAGCAGCCGCGGUAAUACGUAUGUGGCAAGCGUUAUCCGGAAUUAUUGGGCGUAAAGCGCGCGUAGGCGGUCUCUUAAGUCUGAUGUGAAAGCCCCCGGCUCAACCGGAGAGGGUCAUUGGAAACUGGGAGACUUGAGUGCAGAAGAGGAUAGUGCAAUUCCAUGUGUAGCGAUGAAAUGCGCAGAGAUAUGGAGGAACACCAGUGCUCGAAGUGCGUACUCUCUGCUGCUGUAGACUGACGCUGAGGUGC